CAGCAGUAGCCGCGGUAAUACGUAGGGGGCGAGCGUUGUCCGAAGUUACUGGGCGUAAAGCGCGCGUAGGCGGCUUCUUAAGUCUGAGGUGAAAGGUUCAACGCUUAACGUGAACAGUGCCUUGGAUACUGGGGAGCUUGAGUAUGGGAGAGGGCAGUGGAAUGGCUGGUGUAGCGGUGAAAUGCGUAGAUAUCAGUCGGAACACCCAUGGCGAAGGCAGCUGCCUGGCCUAAUACUGACGCUGUGGUGCGAGAGCGUGGGGAGCGAACGGGAUUAGAUACCCCUGUAGUCCCUGUCUCUUAUU
RNAcentral lists this ribosomal RNA (304 nucleotides) under uncultured bacterium. RNAcentral's name for it is "partial 16S ribosomal RNA". It matches the Rfam family "Bacterial small subunit ribosomal RNA", at positions 506 to 808 of the family's 1533-position model. The record is from RNAcentral.